Nymphaea colorata (pocket water lily) is the source of this 784-nucleotide long non-coding RNA. RefSeq lists it as uncharacterized. The record is from RefSeq and is a predicted model, not a curated record. The transcript is spliced from 2 exons. NCBI's taxonomy places the organism in Eukaryota, Viridiplantae, Streptophyta, Magnoliopsida, Nymphaeales, Nymphaeaceae.
UACCCCGACCACUCUCACUCAUCCCCUCUCCUCCUCUCGCUCCCUCCUUCGCUCUCGUUCUCCCCGUCUGAAGCUCCCUCUGUUGCUCGACUGACCCCUUGCCCCUCCCCCUCCCUCUAUCUCUCGCCAACAUUAGCUAAAGCUCUCCCUUCACCCUUCCUCUAUCUCUCGCCUCCAUCGCCCCUUUCCCUACCUCUGGCCCCUCAACCCGUCCCACCUCUCCAUCGUUUCGAUCAACUGGUCAGUCCCUCCCUCUUUCGCCCCUUGUUCGUGCGAAUUAGAUUGCAUCAGGCUGGGGCAUCAACAUUGAGGAAAGAAGACCUUGAUGGUCCGAAUCCUAACCCCCAUUCGGUUGCAGGAGAACCCUACCCCCCGCAGGAGGCACCUCUACAGUUGGUGAUAAGCAGAAGGAUUUUGAACUUGGGGAAGCUAUUAUUGUGACAGGCAGUUGCGUGGAUCCAAAACGAGCCUCCUGCUCUUUUUUCAUUGUAAUUGCUCAAAUUCCACGUGGUAUGAUAGUGGGUGAUGAAAACCUGCAUGCAUAGAUCAGAUUUGGUUAACGGAAAGAAGUUCGCUGCGGGAGGAACUAUCUGCUUAUGACAUAUUAAUCCACUGCACUUUGAUGAAAAUUGACUUGUCGUGCAGUCUAAUUUGUUAAGUGGUCAGAUAUGAUUUGAUGUACAUGAAACUUGAGACUAUCCUGAUGAACAUGUACUCUUUUUUCUUUUUUUUGUAGUCAUAGAAUCUGAUUUUGUUAAAUAAACAUAUCUGAGUUGAUGCGUAA